Molecule: ribosomal RNA, 492 nt
Filed under: uncultured bacterium
Lineage: Bacteria
Description: partial 16S ribosomal RNA
Rfam family: Bacterial small subunit ribosomal RNA
Source: RNAcentral
AGUGAACGCUGGCGGUAGGCCUAACACAUGCAAGUCGAACGGCAGCACAGUAAGAGCUUGCUCUUACGGGUGGCGAGUGGCGGACGGGUGAGGAAUACAUCGGAAUCUACUUUUUCGUGGGGGAUAACGUAGGGAAGCUUACGCUAAUACCGCAUACGACCUACGGGUGAAAGCAGGGGAUCUUCGGACCUUGCGCGAUUGAAUGAGCCGAUGUCGGAUUAGCUAGUUGGCGGGGUAAAGGCCCACCUAGGCGACGAUCCGUAGCUGGUCUGAGAGGGUGAUCAGCCACACUGGAACUGAGACACGAUCCAGACUCCUACGGGAGGCAGAGGUGGGGAAUAUUGGACAAUGGGCGCAAGCCUGAUCCAGCCAUACCGCGUGGGUGAAGAAGGCCUUCGGGUUGUAAAGCCCUUUUGUUGGGAAAGAAAAGCAGCAGGUUAAUACCCCGCUGUUCUGACGGUACCCAAAGAAUAAGCACCGGCUAACUUCGUG